GAACUGAAGAGUUUGAUCAUGGCUCAGAUUGAACGCUGGCGGCAGGCCUAACACAUGCAAGUCGAGCGGCAGCACGGGUACUUGUACCUGGUGGCGAGCGGCGGACGGGUGAGUAAUGCCUAGGAAUCUGCCUGGUAGUGGGGGAUAACGCUCGGAAACGGACGCUAAUACCGCAUACGUCCUACGGGAGAAAGCAGGGGACCUUCGGGCCUUGCGCUAUCAGAUGAGCCUAGGUCGGAUUAGCUAGUUGGUGAGGUAAUGGCUCACCAAGGCGACGAUCCGUAAC
RNAcentral lists this ribosomal RNA (286 nucleotides) under Staphylococcus sp. HMSC14D01. RNAcentral describes it as "partial 16S ribosomal RNA". It matches the Rfam family "Bacterial small subunit ribosomal RNA", at positions 1 to 287 of the family's 1533-position model. Lineage: Bacteria; Bacillati; Bacillota; Bacilli; Caryophanales; Staphylococcaceae. The record is from RNAcentral.